AAUGGCGAAUGAACAGGGAUUAACUCAACAUGGAAAUUUGGACCUGCGGUCUUGAAUUGUAAUCUCGAUGUGUGCUGCCAAUGUGGGUGCAGAUGUAAGCCUCUUGGGACAGAGCAUCAAUGAAGGUGAUAAUCCUGUUUGCCAUCUGCAGCCCCCAUGCACGGUGUACGCUCAAAGAGUCACGUUCCUCGGGAUUGGAGCGCAAAGUGGGUGGUAAAUUUCAUCUUAAGUUAAAUAUAGGUCUGAGACCGAUAGCAAACAAGUACCAUGAGGGAAAGGUGAAAAGGACUUUGAAAAGAGAGUUAAAAGUGCCUGAACUUGCUGAAUCGGAAGUGAAUGGGACCAGCGGUGUGUGGUGAGAUUGUUGUGCGCGAAUGUGAUUUGAGUUGCUAAAGCGAAAGUGUGGUAAUUUUCAUUGAGCUGGUUGUGUAUGGUGAUUCUUGCCCGCGGUGUCAACAUCUGCUCACAACCGAGGAACACUCCAAUUGCAUGGUAGUUCGCCUCCGGGUGUGCGAAUGUGUUUGGCAGAACUCAUGUGUGAACUGAUUCUAGCAUGUCUGGUUGCACUGCUCAUCAUUCUCAAGCCAUGGCAAGCCGUGUGUCGUGGUGGUUGGUGCAAGAGCAGAUCGCAUGACAUAAUUUUGAUGAUUUGAAUGUGCAU
This 661-nucleotide ribosomal RNA is filed under the name Metaphalacroma skogsbergii. RNAcentral's name for it is "LSU rRNA". It matches the Rfam family "Eukaryotic large subunit ribosomal RNA", at positions 85 to 628 of the family's 3401-position model. The record is from RNAcentral. Lineage: Eukaryota; Dinophyceae; Dinophysales; Dinophysaceae.